This 402-nucleotide ribosomal RNA is filed under the name uncultured bacterium. Its description in RNAcentral is "bacterial SSU rRNA". It matches the Rfam family "Bacterial small subunit ribosomal RNA", at positions 355 to 774 of the family's 1533-position model. The record is from RNAcentral.
UGGGGAAUAUUGGACAAUGGGGGAAACCCUGAUCCAGCAAUGCCGCGUGAGUGAAGAAGGCCUUAGGGUUGUAAAGCUCUUUCGCCCGCGAAGAUAAUGACGGUAGCGGGAGAAGAAGCACCGGCUAACUCCGUGCCAGCAGCCGCGGUAAUACGGAGGGGGCUAGCGUUGUUCGGAAUUACUGGGCGUAAAGCGUACGUAGGCGGAUGCGCAAGUUGGGGGUGAAAUCCCGGGGCUUAACCUCGGAAUUGCCCUCAAAACUGCACGUCUUGAGACCGAGAGACGUAAGGGGAAUUCCUAGUGUAGAGGUGAAAUUCGUAGAUAUUAGGAAGAACACCAGUGGCGAAGGCGCCUUACUGGCUCGGUACUGACGCUGAGGUACGAAAGCGUGUGGAGCAAACA